CCUUAUGCAUUUCCUAUACCUUCUGCGCACAAGAAUGCCCCAACACACUGAAGUGCAUCUGCUUUUAGUCUGGCUGAGUUUCUGAAGUUUCAUUUCUGAGGAAGAACUCUGCUGUAUAACAUAGACCUGAAGCAGCCAACAGAACUGUAUGUUGGCUGAAGUACACAAUCAAGAAGCGGAAACUGUGGAAGUGAAACAUCACUGGAAAUUAUAAAAGCUGGGCAGAUAGGCUUUUUCCUCAGGGAAGAGAAAACAAAACAGAAAACCCCAACAACCUAUGCUCACAAAGAAAUUGUGCUCCUUCACCUUUAUUUUUUAAAUAGCCAAUGGUUCCUGGAGAACUCUGGGGAGCCACUGAUUACUAUUAUUUUUUGCCUGCCUGUUCCAUAUUCUGCAAAUCUUUCUCCAUAACAUUUGUGUUAUGACAAUAGGGGCAUUUGUAUGCGAGCAGGAUGUUUGUGACUUAUGAACUUGUCUGCUCCUGCUGUUCAUUCCUCACCUGAAGCCAUAACGUGCUCUCCUUAACAUCAUAAUCAUGUACACAGCAACUCAUGUUGAUGUCACAAACAAAGGCUUAUGGCUUCAGCUGAGAGAUCAGUAGGAACAGAAGGGCUCACAUAAAGAAAAGAUAGUCUACAUGCAAAUGCGUCCAUUUAAGAUGGAAAAAAAAAAACGAGUGAGAGUCAUUAAUUACAAAGUGAUAUGUUAGCUGAGUUGCAUUCUCAUGGAAUAUUUUUUUAGACUCUAUGAAGCAUUCAGUACAUCUUAAAAAUAUAAAAUAAAACACAAAAUGGUUCCAAAUUUUCACUGUUAUCUAAUUGGUACAGAUCACUGGAUUCUAGCCCACCUGCAAUCUUCUACAAAUUGGGGUUUGCCUUUUGCUUACUCCAUGAAGACGAUAGAGUCUGGCAUCGGCAAAGGGAGACAAGAAACAAAAAUGUCAGUGGUCUGCCUGUGCUUAUCUCUUACCAGUGAUGGAAGGAGCAUUGAACGACUGGUCUUCUGGCUUUGGUAUCUCAAUUUGGACCAUAAAUCCAGUGUUUACAUUUACAGCUAAAACUAACUGUGUUUCUGCAUAAAAAUGAUUUACUUUUUGUACGUGAAUAAUUAUAUGGAAAACAUUUUUUUUGUAUUCUCUGUUACAGAUCUCUGAAGCAUAAAAUCAUGUUUUGUGUAGGCAUUUCAAAAUAUUGUUAGAGAGAGCGAUGCUGCUUUUUUAUAUAAACCUUUCCAUUCUCGCCUUUAGAAUUUCAUUUUUUGUGGAUACGUAUUGCCUUGACUUUCUCUUCUGAUACAGAACUGAAAAGUCCAAUUUUUCAAGACUGAAAAAUGCCAGUAUCAAAGAAUACUUAAUGGCCUACUUAAG
RNAcentral lists this long non-coding RNA (1366 nucleotides) under Anser brachyrhynchus (Pink-footed goose). RNAcentral describes it as "lncRNA (ENSABRG00000008256.1)". Lineage: Eukaryota; Metazoa; Chordata; Aves; Anseriformes; Anatidae. The record is from RNAcentral.